Long non-coding RNA from Dufourea novaeangliae, 354 nucleotides. RefSeq lists it as uncharacterized. The record is from RefSeq and is a predicted model, not a curated record. The transcript has 3 exons. NCBI's taxonomy places the organism in Eukaryota, Metazoa, Arthropoda, Insecta, Hymenoptera, Halictidae.
UUUGGAGUCGUUAGUGAGGUUUUGGUGGUCAAGAAAAGAAGCGUUGCUUGUAUGAAUAUUUGAUUUGAAUUUCUGAAGUUAAUAUCCUACUUACAAUUAUAUGUUGAAGUUACCCAUGAGGUCGAUUUGACGAAAAAUAUAAAAUCAUUUCAUUCGAUUAUAUACACUUCUUACACAUAGAAAAGCAUAUAACUACUCCGGAAUUUUCUUCAUGAUUUCGAGUAACAGAAUGGAAAUUUCCUCGGUUUUAAACUACAACACGAAGUGUUUCGAUGCCCAAUACAUAUGACAACUUAUUUCAAAUUCUAAACGAAUGAAAUGCUCUUUAAAUGCACAGGAAUAGUUGAUGUUUAU